RNAcentral lists this ribosomal RNA (486 nucleotides) under uncultured bacterium. RNAcentral's name for it is "partial 16S ribosomal RNA". It matches the Rfam family "Bacterial small subunit ribosomal RNA", at positions 28 to 507 of the family's 1533-position model. The record is from RNAcentral.
GAUGAACGCUGGCGGCGUGCCUAAUACAUGCAAGUCGAACGCUGGAAAUCUAGCUUGCUAGAUUGAAGGAGUGGCGAACGGGUGAGUAAUACAUAAGCAACCUACCCACGAAGACUGGGAUAAUCUCUGGAAACGGGGACUAAUACCGGAUAGGUAAUCGGAAGGCAUCUUCUGAUUAUUAAAGGUUAAAAACACUGGUGGAUGGGCUUAUGGCGCAUUAGUUAGUUGGUGAGGUAACGGCCCACCAAGACGAUGAUGCGUAGCCGGCCUGAGAGGGUGAACGGCCACAUUGGGACUGAGACACGGCCCAGACUCCUACGGGAGGCAGAAGUAGGGAAUUUUCGGCAAUGGGGGAAACCCUGACCGAGCAACGCCGCGUGAGUGAUGACGGCCUUCGGGUUGUAAAGCUCUGUUGUAAGGGAAGAACGGUAGAUAGAGAAUAUCUAAAUGACGGUACCUUACCAGAAAGCCACGGCUAACUACGUG